RNAcentral lists this non-coding RNA (31 nucleotides) under Mus musculus (house mouse). Lineage: Eukaryota; Metazoa; Chordata; Mammalia; Rodentia; Muridae. The record is from RNAcentral.
UCGAUCUACAGCAAGGCAUCAGGAAUCACUC